Molecule: small nuclear RNA, 296 nt
Filed under: Anolis carolinensis (green anole)
Lineage: Eukaryota; Metazoa; Chordata; Lepidosauria; Squamata; Anolidae
Description: 7SK RNA
Rfam family: 7SK RNA
About the family: 7SK was discovered as an abundant small nuclear RNA in the mid-70s but a possible function has only recently been suggested. Two independent studies have found that 7SK RNA binds the CDK9/cyclin T complex (known as elongation factor P-TEFb).
Source: Rfam by way of RNAcentral
AUGUGAGGGUGAUCUCGCUGUGACAUCUGUCACCCCAUUGAUUGCCAGGGUUGAUUCAGCUGAUCUGGCUGGCUAGGCGGGUGUCACCUUCCUCCCUCACCCCUCCAUGUGUAUCCCUCCCGAAGCUGCAUGCUCAGUGGAAGAGGACAUUGUCCCAGGUAUAGAAGGAGUGUACCGAGGUCUCCAGUCUUCGGCCCCAGGUAUACGAUAGCUGCGCUCCCCUGCUAGAACCUCCAAACCAGCUCAAGCUAAGACAUAUAUCUUUUAGGCUAGUUACACUUUUAAAAUGUAACUUU